Gadus morhua (Atlantic cod) is the source of this 2464-nucleotide long non-coding RNA. NCBI's taxonomy places the organism in Eukaryota, Metazoa, Chordata, Actinopteri, Gadiformes, Gadidae. The record is from Ensembl.
CACGAAUUCUCCAUUCAGCCCACUGCACGCAUUCUCCUUCAUCUUCUGCAAGACACAAAUGCAAACAUAAGAAAUGAAUGUGCGAAAUCAUAACACUUAGAUUUAUCUGCCAGUUUACGUCUACCCGCCUGUCCAAACAGUGGCGGUUGUCAUAUUAAAUCUAGGCACUAAGGCCACAUACAGCUGAUGCUCAUGAAGUAAGGCAGAUAAGAAACUGAUAACUACUGAUUUCUCCUUUCCUGGCACAGUCCUUAACAUAUGUAAUGAGGCUAAAAACUUAUAACAUUACAUAACUGACGACCAGUCUAAUGACCGUGAAAUUUGCAGGCAGUAUCGUAUGAUGUAUGCACAAGCUAAUAUGCUUAUCGGAAAAUUUGGUAUGUGUUCAUCUUCUGUGAAAAUAACACUUGCUGCUUCUUGCUACAAAAGAAGCGGCAUUCAAUUAUGGUAUGAGGCUACAACUCAAAGUGCCUAGAUGGAGUAGCACAAGCCUUCCGUUUGUGAAUGUUGAUGUGCCAACUUGUCCUGCUGUUCUCAGAAACCUUAUGCAUAGAUGUAUGUGUAGACUACUGUGUCUUGCAACAAGUAAGGGAUAAUGGACCACGUUAGACUAUCAAAAGUUAAUACACGCUCUAGAUGAUAAUGCGGCCCCAAAGCGGAGGGCCGAUCCAAUGUGUUCAAUGCGCCCUCUGGAGGCGCCCUUAAUUAAUUAAAAUAUACGAAACAAGCGAAAUUAAACCAAACGUGUUCCAAAAUGGAACAGAGAAGGGAGGGGGCCGGGGAUUAAAGUUAGGGCGCACUGAAACCCUCACCGUAGUACGCAGGACAAUGCGACAAAGCCAUCUAUCCCACUCUAUAGAAAAUAUCGAGAUAUAUCGCCAUUCAGCCAAAAAAUAUCGGGAUAUCAUAUUUUGCCCAUAUCGUGCAGCCCUAAUCUGAAUACAGACGUCGCAAAACCUCUACAUCCAGCUCUCCAACAAGAAGUUGACAACGAAGACCUUGCGGAUGGCACAAGCAGGCGAUUUGUUCACUGAUGCAUUUUCAAUGCAAAAACCCUGACAACCAAUUGGAAUACAGACGCUGCAAACCCUCUCCAUCCAGCUCUCCGAGAAGCAGUUGACAACAACGGAGACCCUACAGAUAACACAAGCCCGUGAUUGUUUCACUUGCUCCAAAUUAAACGACCAUUCAAAGCUCACGGCAGAAAAGAUGGCACAGGUGUGGAAGGUCGUCGAAUUCAAAGAUAGGAGCACUACCAUAGUGCCAAGCAGCUGGUUGGAGGAGGCAGGGGAGUCAUGGAAUUGUUUCUGGCCUCCUAGUUCUUAUGAUCAUAUCCGCCUCCAGAAGGCAGUCGCGCACCACCUUCCUCCAGGUGCAGCGUGGGACGUGCACGGUGACGUGAGGGUCUUGGUUAGCUGUGGCCAAAGUCACGCUACCUGCAGGAGCCAGCUGGAAGAGUCCAGACCACUACGGGCCCGCCGCAACACUUUUUUGAAGGUGUGGACACUGAUGACGAGGCACCACCCCCCCCAAGAAAAACAGCACGACAAUCUGUAGAUGUAGGGCCAGACAUCAGUAGUGAGUGGCUAUUUGGGCCAUCGACCACCCAAAGAGCUCAAUCAAAUGGCAGCCAGAGACUUGAGCUACUACAUAUAGAUAGUCCAACCAAGCCACCAGCUAUUGCAUGAUAUGGGAAUAUCUAAAGUCGUGGAGCUGCUUUCCAAAGUGCUGGAAGAAAAUAAAUUGAUGAAAGCAGAAAUUACCAACCUGGGGAGUGAAGUGAGGGCGCUUAGGAGAGAGAUGGUGAGGCCGGUAGCACCAGAAGCUGCCGCUUCGUCCAUCAAGCUGCCUCUGAGGACAAUGGAGGAGUUUCAAUUAGCAGAGGCUGUUAUGAGAGAAACCCCCUGCGAAAAACAAAAGAUGAUCUUAACAUUCAGUCUAAUUGGAGGGCACACUGCAGAAGAGGCCGUAAGAAGGAUGUUGCAGAGUGGCCUAACAAAUAACCUGGCGUGUCGCUUCAACUGGGCAGGGAAAGGCUUCAAGGAAGCCUUUAAAAGCACUGUCCUUAGUGAUGUACUGUUCGCUGCACUACAAAAACAGCUGCCAGGGACCACCCAUAUUGUUUUUUCAGGGACACUGAAGAAGUGGCUUAAAUAUGCACCGGAGAGAGAGGGAGGUGGAGGGAGGCGAACAAAUGAACGCGAUCAGGCGCCGCAGGAUCCUCGACCAUGAAUGAAUGUGUGUGUGUAAAUAAUAAUUAUAUUCGUUAGAAUAAUAGGGUUAUUUGGGGUUGGGUUGUUCGUGUUCGGUUAUCACGUUGUAUUGUUCAUUAUUGUCGCCAUCGUUGUUGUGUCAUGUUUGUUUGUUGGGUGCUCUAUGUGAGAGGAUUUUAAUAAAAGUAGUCUGCGUCGAGGGGUGUACGGGGCGCAGAACUACAGUUAAAUAAAGUCUGACUGUGCGUUUC